CUACGGGAUGCAGCAGUGGGGAAUAUUGGACAAUGGGGGAAACCCUGAUCCAGCAAUGCCGCGUGUGUGAAGAAGGCCUGCGGGUUGUAAAGCACUUUCGGUUGGGAGGACUGCUUCUAGCACUAAUAUUGUUGGAAGUUGACGUUACCUUCAGAAGAAGCACCGGCUAACUCCGUGCCAGCAGCCGCGGUAAUACGGAGGGUGCAAGCGUUAAUCGGAAUUACUGGGCGUAAAGCGCGCGUAGGCGGCUAGAUCAGUCGGGUGUGAAAGCCCCGGGCUUAACCUGGGAACUGCAUCCGAUACUGUCUAGCUAGAGUACAGGAGAGGAGAGUGGAAUUCCACAUGUAGCGGUGAAAUGCGUAGAUAUGUGGAGGAACACCAAUGGCGAAGGCAGCUCUCUGGCCUGAUACUGACGCUGAGGUGCGAAAGCGUGGGGAGCAAACGGGAUUAGAUACCCUCGUAGUC
This 465-nucleotide ribosomal RNA is filed under the name uncultured bacterium. Its description in RNAcentral is "partial 16S ribosomal RNA". It matches the Rfam family "Bacterial small subunit ribosomal RNA", at positions 339 to 795 of the family's 1533-position model. The record is from RNAcentral.